This 76-nucleotide transfer RNA is filed under the name Candidatus Cloacimonetes bacterium HGW-Cloacimonetes-2. RNAcentral's name for it is "tRNA-Val". It matches the Rfam family "tRNA". From Rfam's summary of the family: Transfer RNA (tRNA) molecules are approximately 80 nucleotides in length. Their secondary structure includes four short double-helical elements and three loops (D, anti-codon, and T loops). Lineage: Bacteria; Pseudomonadati; Candidatus Cloacimonadota. The record is from RNAcentral.
GGGUGAUUAGCUCAGUUGGGAGAGCGCUUGCUUUACACGCAAGUGGUCGGGGGUUCAAGUCCCUCAUCACCCACCA